CGUUUUUGCGGCGUUUGCAGAUAGUAGCAGAGAAACCAUCAUACCCUACCCUUAGUAUAUAAGAAGAAGCAAGAAUAAGAAUGACAAUUGUAAUCUAUACAAUACUAAAAGUAACAUAUCCUCAAAGGAGAGAGUGUCCACGUCAUUAAAAUAAUCAUCCAAUCAUGAAGCUCUAUUGUGCUACGUCAAAUCGGCUCUACUUUACACAGUUUAAAUCUGGGCUAUUUUUGUGGGUUGCCAAUACAUUUCUAAUGGCCCAUAUCAAACCCAUCUCUCCUAUACCAAUUUUCGUCUGAACUCUGAAGGGUUGAUGGUUAAUCGUCUCCGACUCUUCCAUUUCGUCGUCACCGUUUCGGCUCUUUGUAAUUCGCCUUUACUGCGACCCACUUUUAUUAAUCAAUUAUGUUCGUUACUCCUUUCGUCUCCUUUUAUAUAGAGCUUUCAGUUCCUGGACAUGUUACCCAUCGGGUCUAGGGUUUCGAUCCAAUCCCAUCUAUGUUGAUUAAUUUGUCACCCAAAAAGAUUCAAUAACGCUUGGAAGUUCUUCUUGGAUUGCUCUUCCUCUUCUGGGAAAGUGGAAGGUCUACAGCUGUUUACCUAAAUGUCCCUCAGAGACACCUUCUAAAAUUAUGACCUGUUCACAAGAACCCAUCGAAAACAAAUCUAUUUGACAAUCAAGCAAGAUAAAGCACGGUAAGAAAUUCUCUACAGCCCACAAAAAUUAUUACCUGAUCCUGCCACUUAAAGUCACUUCCAGUGAGUUUUUCAAUGUCUGGGCUCACUUACAAAUGAAAAAAUAUAUAUAUAUGUGUGUUUGAAUUGUUUUUUGCUGCUGACGUAGUGAUUCCUAUUAUAACUGUUUUUGAUAUUGAGAUUGUUUUUGUGAUUGUGUUUGUCUCUGAGACACAAAGCUAACGUUUAAGUGAUUUGAACAUAUAUUUAGAAAGAAAGCAGUUGGGGGCAGUAAUAGCGAUAUCAACAACCUGGAUGGUUUAAUUGGUUUGCGAGGAGGUUUAUGAAAGAGGGAAAUAGAGAAUGAGCUAGAUCACCGGAGCUUGAGGAUCAGAAUCUUUCAGCUACGCCAUCUGUCCUGAAAAUGUGAUUGCAGCGUCAGUGGUGGUGAAAUCUGCUAUGAAGAAUGCAGGCCAUGGAAACAUGUCUUACACGUCGUCACUAAUCUUGGGGCGAUGCAGGUUAUGUUGAAGCUGAAGGAUUAUAAUGGAUCUCAUGUAGAAGGGUAAGCUUUGGAGGACUAUAUGUUUUUGAACUCUUCGUGUGUGCCUAUGUGAAGCCACUGGAGUCUCCUAAUCUUCAGAAUUUCUUUCUUGAGAACAAGCUCGAGAAUGCGCCGAAGGAUACCCUGAAGAUGUAGUUUAGAAAUUCACAAAAUUUUCCUAUUGAAGCACUUGACAUUCUCUUUACCUGAAGCUGAAGCUGAAGCUGCAUAGGAUACUUCUCUUGGACGAUGAUGUGGUUGUGCAGAAGGAUUUAACGGGGCAUUGGGAGAUUGAUAUGGACAGGAAAGUGAAUGGGGGCUGUAGAGACUUAUGCCGGUUUGUUCCAUUGGUAUGCUCAGUACAUGAACUUCUCGCAUCCUUUGAUUAAGAGAAGUUAAAUCCGACAGUAUGCGCAUAGGUUUAUGGAAUGAACUUCUCUGAUCCUGAUGCUUGGAGAAUAGAGAAGUACAUAGAAGAAUACCACUAUAUUCAAAAACUGCAGCCGACAAGAAUCUGCUUCUUUGUGUCUUAUUGGCUUUGUUGUUUGUUUUAUGAACUGGCCACGUGCUCACAGUUAUACCUUUUUGUUAGUCUUUCCGUAACGAUUUAAACAGCUUGAGAGGGGAAAGCUUCUGAAUGUGGAUCCAUACUUGGGGUUAAGAGAAGCAAACAUCACUUUCCCUACUGAAUCAUAAUUUUCUGAGUCUCUCAUAGUUUUACAGUUACAGUAUUAGGCUGUUGAGAAUGAUUAAAGCAUUACGAGAUCUUCACUUCUUACUAUAUAUGAUUUUGCGUUCUAUUUCAUUAGAAGUACAGUUCCUGAAGCAAAUUAAGUCUGAAAGAUUGUAAAAAUAACAGAUGUGUUUAUGGCUUUUGAUUAUGCUCAUUAAAUCGCAUUACAAUUUUUUUUUUAA
This is a long non-coding RNA of Brassica rapa (field mustard), 2131 nucleotides long. RefSeq lists it as uncharacterized. NCBI's taxonomy places the organism in Eukaryota, Viridiplantae, Streptophyta, Magnoliopsida, Brassicales, Brassicaceae. The record is from RefSeq and is a predicted model, not a curated record.